RNAcentral lists this unclassified non-coding RNA (106 nucleotides) under soil metagenome. RNAcentral's name for it is "partial internal transcribed spacer 1". The record is from RNAcentral.
GUGAACGCCCUCACGGGCUUAUACUAUUCCAAACCUCUGUGAACCAUGCCCUUCGGGGCUAUUUUACAAACAUGGUGUAAUGAACGUCAUAUAUCAUAACAAAACA